GUCUCUGUGGUCUAGUGGUCAAGGCACCGGCGUUCCAAGCUGGGGCCCCGGGUUCGAUUCCUGGCAGAGACA
This 72-nucleotide transfer RNA is filed under the name Lytechinus variegatus (green sea urchin). Its description in RNAcentral is "tRNA-Gly". It matches the Rfam family "tRNA". Rfam says of the family: Transfer RNA (tRNA) molecules are approximately 80 nucleotides in length. Their secondary structure includes four short double-helical elements and three loops (D, anti-codon, and T loops). Lineage: Eukaryota; Metazoa; Echinodermata; Echinoidea; Temnopleuroida; Toxopneustidae. The record is from RNAcentral.